GGUGGGGACUGUCUGGCUCCGCAGCCAUCAAACCAAAUUCCCGAAAGGUGUUGGACAAGGAAGGAGCCGUGUUCAAGACAAAACACAAGACAGAACAAUGGGGAGUCUGUUUAGGAGGAUUAUUUAAGUCUUUUUUUUUUAAUAGAUAAUAAAUUGGACGAGAUAAUAUUGAUUAGUUUAAUGGAUCAAUCAUCAACGAUGAGGAGGUUGAUACUGGCCGCGGUCGUCCUCUCUUCCCUACCGACACAGGUGCAGGGCGUCCAGGUGAAUGUUCCUCAGACAGAGAGGAGUACAGCUCUGUUUGCCUCCGUCAUCCUGAAGUGUGAUUACUCCACCUCCGCUAACCAGCAGGAUGUCCAGGUCACCUGGCGAUACAAGUCCUUCUGCAAGGACCCCAUCCUGGAGUAUUACUCCCAAGCGUACCAGAAUGCUCUGCAGCUGGGUCAGGACCCGGCCAAUGACUGCCCAGACCGCCAGCGCACGGUGAGGAUCAUCGUCCAGAAGCGAGGCUCCAACGAGGCCAUACUGGGCACAGAGUACCGGGAACGCAAGAUCUCCGUCCAGAACAAGGCUGACCUGGUGAUCAAUGAGAUCAUGUGGUGGGACAACGGAGUUUACUACUGUUCUGUGGAAGCCACGGGAGACACCAGCGGCGGCUUGGAUGGCGUGAUCCAACUCAUGGUCUACAACUGGCUGACGGUGCUGUUCAUAGUGAUUGGAGCUCUGCUCCUCAUCCUGCUCUUCUGUAUCUGCUGCUGCCAGUGUUGUCCUCAGAGGUGCUGCUGCUACGUCCGCUGCCCCUGCUGCCCACAGACCUGCUGCUGUCCUGAGAAAGCGGUGAUGCAGCACAGGAUGAUGAAGGAUGCCCAGAGGACCAUGGGUCCAUGGAUGGGAGGUCAGCCCAUCUACAGCCCCAUGAGCCACGGAUCCUCACAGAUGAACCCUCUGCUGUAUGGAGGCUCCCAAUCAGGGAAGAGCAUCGCCAUGGCCCCCAUGCCCCUCCCCCCUCCCCCAUCUGGCUACAACAUGCCCCCCAGUGUCCACGCUGCCAGCAUCUACGGCAACCAACAUCCCGACAACAAGCAGAUGCUGGACUACCUGGAGAGCCAGGUGAGGAGCAUGGAUGGGACCAGCCCCAUGAUGCAGCCCCAACCCCACCACCAGCAGCUCCUGAUGAUACCCCCUCCCCCUCAGCACAUGAUGCCCCAGCACGUCCCCUUCUCAGCGGGUCCUCCCAGCAUGCUCUCUGGCCUGGACGACGGGGCUGUGGACUACCGGGGGGUCAUCCAGAUGCCUCCCAUCGUAGAGCAGCCUGGACGAGGAGGUCGGAGAGGGGGCCAGCCGCCGCUUGCUCCUACAACACGUCCACCCAGCUCCAGAGGAAGCAGCCGCAGCGAGAGUCGCUUCACCAAUCACCGUGACGACCGCAGCGACGCCAGCGGGCGCCGUUACCCGUCGCCGUCAAGGAGCCGUGGCAUGCCGAGGAGCUACAGUGAAGACUUUCUGGACGGGGAGAGCCGGGGGGCGCGGGGUCGAAUGGGUUCACGUGACGACCUCAGCGACAGGGUCCCUCGAUCCCGCUCCAGAGACGACCUGUUCGAGGAGCAGCGUCGCGCCCCGCCUCCCAGCAACUACUCCCGCUCCCGCAGAGGGUCGUUCAGUUCAGAUGAGGAUGAAAACAGCAGGAGAGGAGAGGGCAGAGGUCACAGGAGGAGGAGGAGGAGGAGAGAUGUAUUCAGACAUUCCGCCCAGCUAUUCUGAAUACGAGCCGGGACAGAAACCACCAAGGAGGAAUGAGCGUUACUCUGUUAAAACUCUGCUUUAGUUAGUACACUGAAUACACACUCACUAAACACACACACACACACACACACAACCCCUUCAAAAGCAUUUACCAUCUAACAAUGGCAUUUGAUCCAUGCCUUCAAUUACACAUAAUCAUAUAAUCACGCAGAUAUGAAAUAAUCACUCACAAAGACACACUGGUGCACACUACUUGGUUUCGUCACUUCUUCCAUUCAGGAAGCCUUUAAUUAAUGUGUCCCGCUACAGGGCAAGAGUUCUGGCAGUGGCACUGUGGUCAUCUGAUCUGGGCUCUCACUGGCUACCUCUCCUCUCCUUCUGCUGAAUGGCAUUACAACAGCCCCCUCUGCUGGUUGAACGCUCUCAGUGCAGAUAAGUGCCCAAUCUUGACAAUCUGUUGUGCAAACAAAAGCUGUGUGUGCAGUACAGUAGUCAGCCAGUGAGUCAGCCCUCAACAGUAGAUGAGUAGUUUGAAAGGCUCAAGCAUUGGGAAAUCAGAGACUGUAGAAAGAUCUGAGGUUGGGCAAUUUUGCAGAGCUAAGCAAUUGUCUCAGGUCACACUGUCAUGUCCUCCUCCACCCUCUCUAUCUCCUCAUAUUGUGUGAUUCUAAUUAGAGGUCGACCGAUUAUGGUUUUUCAACGUUGAUACCGAUUAUUGGAGGACCAAAAAAGGCGAUACUGAUUAAUCGGCCGAUCAAAAAAAAAAAAAACAUUAAAUUAAAUAUAAAAAAAUUAAGUUAUUUAUUUGUAAUAAUGACAAUUACAACAAUACUGAAUGAACACUAACUUAAUAUAAUACAUCAAUAAAAAUACAUUU
Molecule: RNA transcript, 2620 nt
Organism: Oncorhynchus gorbuscha (pink salmon)
Lineage: Eukaryota; Metazoa; Chordata; Actinopteri; Salmoniformes; Salmonidae
Gene name: immunoglobulin-like domain-containing receptor 1
Exons: 8
Source: RefSeq, a predicted model, not a curated record